Molecule: unclassified non-coding RNA, 333 nt
Filed under: soil metagenome
Description: partial contains 5.8S ribosomal RNA, internal transcribed spacer 2, and large subunit ribosomal RNA
Rfam family: 5.8S ribosomal RNA (bases 1-121)
Source: RNAcentral
GAUGAAGAACGUAGCGAAAUGCGAUAAGUAAUGCGAAUUGCAGAAUUUCCGUGAGUCAUCGAAUCUUUGAACGCACAUUGCGCCCAUUGGUAUUCCGAUGGGCAUGCCUGUUCGAGCGUCAUUUAAACCUUCAAGCUCAGCUUGGUGUUGGGUGACUGUCCGCUUCACCGCGGACUCGCCUCAAAAUUAUUGGCGGCCGGUACAUUGGCUUCGAGCGCAGCAGAAACGCGAACUCGGGCCCGUCGUAUUGGCUCCCAGAAGCUAUCUUCACAAUUUUGACCUCGGAUCAGGUAGGGAUACCCGCUGAACUUAAGCAUAUCAAUAAGCGGAGGA